UACGUAGGGUCCGAGCGUUGUCCGGAAUUACUGGGCGUAAAGAGCUCGUAGGUGGUUUGUCGCGUUGUUCGUGAAAACUCACAGCUUAACUGUGGGCGUGCGGGCGAUACGGGCAGACUAGAGUACUGCAGGGGAGACUGGAAUUCCUGGUGUAGCGGUGAAAUGCGCAGAUAUCAGGAGGAACACCGGUGGCGAAGGCGGGUCUCUGGGCCGAUACUGACGCUGAGGAGCGAAAGCGUGGGGAGCGAACAGG
RNAcentral lists this ribosomal RNA (253 nucleotides) under uncultured bacterium. Its description in RNAcentral is "partial 16S ribosomal RNA". It matches the Rfam family "Bacterial small subunit ribosomal RNA", at positions 524 to 776 of the family's 1533-position model. The record is from RNAcentral.